AGUGAACGCUGGCGGUAGGCCUAACACAUGCAAGUCGAACGGCAGCACAGUAAGAGCUUGCUCUUACGGGUGGCGAGUGGCGGACGGGUGAGGAAUACAUCGGAAUCUACUUUUUCGUGGGGGAUAACGUAGGGAAACUUACGCUAAUACCGCAUACGACCUACGGGUGAAAGCAGGGGAUCUUCGGACCUUGCGCGAUUGAAUGAGCCGAUGUCGGAUUAGCUAGUUGGCGGGGUAAAGGCCCACCAAGGCGACGAUCCGUAGCUGGUCUGAGAGGAUGAUCAGCCAGACUGGAACUGAGACACGGUCCAGACUCCGACGGGAGGCAGCAGUGGGGAAUAUUGGACGAUGGGCGCAAGCCUGAUCCAGCCAUACCGCGUGGGUGAAGAAGGCCUUCGGGUUGUAAAGCCCUUUUGUUGGGAAAGAAAAGCAGCAGGUUAAUACCCCGCUGUUCUGACGGUACCCAAAGAAUAAGCACCGGCUAACUUCGUG
Molecule: ribosomal RNA, 492 nt
Filed under: uncultured bacterium
Lineage: Bacteria
Description: partial 16S ribosomal RNA
Rfam family: Bacterial small subunit ribosomal RNA
Source: RNAcentral